UAUGGCGACCGGCGCACGGGUGAGUAACACGUAUCCAACCUGCCUNAGACUCGGGGAUAGCCUUUCGAAAGAAAGAUUAAUACCCGAUGGCAUAGUUCUUCCGCAUGGUAGAACUAUUAAAGAAUUUCGGUCAUCGAUGGGGAUGCGUUCCAUUAGCUUGUUGGCGGGGUAACGGCCCACCAAGGCAUCGAUGGAUAGGGGUUCUGAGAGGAAGGUCCCCCACAUUGGAACUGAGACACGGUCCAAACUCCUACGGGAGGCAGCAG
Molecule: ribosomal RNA, 266 nt
Filed under: uncultured bacterium
Lineage: Bacteria
Description: partial 16S ribosomal RNA
Rfam family: Bacterial small subunit ribosomal RNA
Source: RNAcentral